AACGCACAUGGCGCCUUCCAGUAUCCUGGGAGGCAUGCCUGUCCGAGCGUCGUUUCAACCCUCGAGCCCCCGUGGCCCGGCGUUGGGGAUCUGCCCAGGCAGGCCCCGAAAACCAGUGGCGGACCCGUUACAGGCCCUUCCUUUGCGUAGUAAUACUGCCUCGCAUCGGGAGCCGGCGGGCUUCCAGCCUCUAAACCCCCAGCAAGUCCGCCUCGGCGGCACCAAGGUUGACCUCGGAUCAGGUAGGAAUACCCGCUGAACUUAA
Molecule: unclassified non-coding RNA, 265 nt
Filed under: uncultured fungus
Lineage: Eukaryota; Fungi
Description: partial contains 5.8S ribosomal RNA, internal transcribed spacer 2, and large subunit ribosomal RNA
Source: RNAcentral